Molecule: long non-coding RNA, 3593 nt
Filed under: Homo sapiens (human)
Lineage: Eukaryota; Metazoa; Chordata; Mammalia; Primates; Hominidae
Description: PRKCH antisense RNA 2
Source: RNAcentral
AGGGUGGAAAAUCUGGAUUCUACCCCAAGUGUAAGUCUCAAACUGACUGGAGAGCAGGGGAAAGAGAAGGGUCAAGAACUCAGGGACUCAUUUUAUGUUCCCCUUCCUGCUGUGGCCCUCAUUACAGUGGAACUGAACUAGAGGAUACUCAAGGAAUCAGAGGCACACCUGGCCCCGAGAAUGAGACACUUAACAGUUUUUUUCCCAGACUACAGAGGAGGUGUGGCUGCAGGGGAAAGCAAGCAGGCAUGCUCCCUCCUGACGCUAGUUCUAAGGGGACAUGUAAAGGAUUUGGGCCAAGUUUGUAUAGGAAUGUCCUGGGAGGCCUCCUGCAAGCCAGGGAAGGCUGAAAGAACUAACAGCUUCUCUGACAUGGAGGGCUGGUCAGGCUCUGCAGUGUCACUGCUUGUGUUUGUAUCAUUCUUUCACCACUGAGUUACUGUGUGACUGUGGACAAAUUUCUUAACUUCUCUGAGCCUUAGAUUUCUCAACUCUAACAUGAAGAUUUUCCUAUAUUUUAAAAAGUUAUGAUGAGUCAAUGAGAGAAUUAACGUAAAGCGCCUGGCAUAAAGAAAGCCCUCAAGAAAUGAUAGUAUUAGUGAACAUCUUGUUGCCGUCCUAGGCUCGAAUAGACUGUCCCUAAACACUCUGUUCCCACCGCUGUGAACAGUGGCAGCAUAAUUCUUUUGCAGAAUACUUCCAUUAUUUGCUUAUGUCCCUAAUGGGACCCAAAUGCCAAACUUGUAAGUCCAUCCUGUUCUACUAAAAGGCAGGGGCACAGAUAGAAAGCUGCUGAGAGACUACACUCUGAGGUCAGCCUUGACCCUGAGGCUCAUCUGGCUCUCCCUGUUCCUCUACAGCCAGGUAAAGGUUAGAGGCAAGUCUCGGAGAUGGAAACCCAAGGUCAUGCAGUUGUGCCAAUGCCCGUUGUUAGACAACAUGCUUCUAUUCCUGACAAACCAGUCUCAAGCAGCUCUGACUGAUGGGGCGGAUUUCAAUGCUCUCCAAUGACUUCCAAGUGUUAAGAAAAAGCUGCUGCUACCCUACAUGCCCAAGCUAUACGAACUACUUUUUUCCAGGCAAACAGGAUUCCUGCAGACAAUGCUCGGAUGAUGAAAUCUGAGAGGCUGGAUGACAGAGAAACCCACAUGCAUACACACACACUUUAUAAAGCUUAGGAACAAAAGCACUUUAUAAUCUCCUUCUGAUGCCAAGUUUACAGUGCUUCCAGAGUCAACAAAGGUGACUCAGGAGAGUGCACCCAGCUCCUUUCAGCACUUAUUUAGCUCAGCCACCUGUGUGAGCUCAAAGACAAGGGUGCCGACUUCACCUGAGUAGACCCUGAGUCACGUGAUUUCUUGCUGGAGAUGAUUCAGCAAAGGAGCACUAACCUCUGAGACAAGGCUUCAGCUUCCUGAGCUCUGCUGACUCGCCUGGGACUUCCCUAAGCCCUUCUGGACCUAGAUGAGGGCAAAACUCAGUGGAACCUCAGAAGCCCUAAAAAAAUGAUAGACUUUCUUUUGUCUCAUCAUUAUCAGCAUUUUGGGAUGAUUUAGUCAGCCUAAGAAACCUGAUGGCAUGUUGACACCAGAAAACAGGUAGUAUAUAUUCCCAAACCAAGUUAAAAAAAAUUAAGAAAUAACAGCUGGAAUGCCUUUUAUUUUUUCUUUACACAAAUGUGUGUGUCAUCGUCAUAUGCCUUUUUUGUGUUAAUUUCUGAGGAUCCUGCCAGUGUGAAUACUCCAUUCUCUGCGAGUCGCAGGUCAGGCUGCUUUUGAGGCAAGCACACGUUAAGUAUUGAGCAGAAACAUUUGAAGCAAAGAUGAGAAAGACAGAAGGGGAAGCAAGAAAAAUAGUCUUCCCAGUGUGCCUAUUUGGGUGCAUAUAAAGUUACUUUUAGAUGUGCGAUUACUGGUUAAUGAUUUGGGGAAUUCUUUUCAAGUAGAAAUCCUGGGCUAAAAACUAAGUGUGCUCAAGCUACCCCCGCACCCACUGAUUCUGCACUCCAUGGGAAAAGUUCUCACAAGCAAGUCCUUUGUCCACUACCCACGUCUAUAGGAAAUGUUUGAACAGCUAUACACAAAGAACUCACAAGUCCACAACCUCGGGGGUGUUGCGGGUGGAGAGGGCAGUGGUAAAGGUGAUGACAGGGAGGGCCUGUGGGGACAGUAAUAUUAGAUUAGUGGUCAGAAGAUGCUGGAGCCUGCCUUGCCAGUCACACACUUUUAGAGGAAUGCUGGACAGUACACACCCUCCCCAACCCUGAAUGUAGGCCCUCGCUGACAUCACGCCAGAUGAAGCCCUGAGGUCUUUAACAUCUGUAACUCUAUGGCAUGUAACAUAAACAGGUGUCUGACCAGUUUCCCCAGAUAUAGAAUAAUAAUAAUACCUUUCAUUUAAAAAGGUAAGAGGGAAUUCAACAAGCUUUCCUUCUUAAAUAAAUCUCCAUCUCAGGAAGCCAUGGAAAGAUGCCCCUCCCACACUAAGACUGUAGAGAGAGGCACUGUGAAGGUCUGGCUUGGAGAUCUCAGCUCUUCCUGCCUCUCAGGGGGAAAGGGCAGAUCCAGCAGGCCGGGAAAGGAUCUCCCAGGGUCCCAAGGAGGCAGCAUGGGGCAAAGUCCAACAGUGAGGAUUCUCUCCUUCUCUGGUCUCUUUUCUGUUAAAAAUGCUUCUUUGGGGUACCCUUCAUUACUACCCUGGAGGUUGAAGGACACUUCUUGAGAAGGCAUAGAUACUCUUCAGGUAUGCUGAAGAAAUGAGUUGUGCUAAAACCACUGGUUAAUUUUGUCUGUGGCAAAAAAUCAUGAGGGUGACAUAGACUCCCAGGCCAGGAACCCGAGACUGGAUUUAAGAGAUGUGGCCAGGAUCCACAGGGGAGCUUGUAUGUGGCUCACAUCAUUAGCUCUUUCUGUAUAUUUGUAUUGUAAACCAUUUCCCUUCAUUUGUGAAGAUGGAGAUCACUUUUUCUAUACAGGCUAGAAAUGUUUCUUCAUACACACACGCUGAGCUUGUUUAUAAAAGAUAUUCAUUUAUAUGGUGGUUUUAACAACUUUUCCAUGUGGAAAUUUUAGACGACAGUAACACAGACCCUCAUGUACUCAUCACUCAGCCUUGAUGGUUACUGACACAUGCCCAAUAUUGUUUCAUCUGUUUCUCCCCACAACUCCUGGAUUAAUUUGAAAGAAAUCCUAGAAGUCACUUAAUCAGCAAAUACUCCAGUCUGUUGGUCCACUCCUUAUACAAUAGCCAGGGUGAUCUUUUACACAUGAAGUAGUGAUUGCAUCACUCAUGCUUGCUUGGAAUUCUUCAAAGACUUACGUUGGCACUUCAGAUAAAGUGUAGACUCCUUCGCGUGACCUAGGAUGUCCUUUGGGCUCUCACUGUUCCCUCAGCCUCCUCACCUGAAGCUCUCACUGCCCCACCCCUUUGCUCAUCACACUCCAACCCGCCUGCCAUUGAGCUACUCAAAUGGACUGCUCCUUUCUCAAGACCUCUGCACACUUUCAAGCCUCAUUUCUCUUCAGCCUUUAUUAAAUGUCAUCUCCUCCAGAUGGCCUCCUUUGGUGGCCCAGGUCAUGUUAGAUCUGCCUGUU